RNAcentral lists this ribosomal RNA (459 nucleotides) under uncultured bacterium. RNAcentral describes it as "partial 16S ribosomal RNA". It matches the Rfam family "Bacterial small subunit ribosomal RNA", at positions 338 to 795 of the family's 1533-position model. The record is from RNAcentral.
CCUACGGGGGGCAGCAGUGAGGAAUAUUGGUCAAUGGCCGGAAGGCUGAACCAGCCAAGCCGCGUGAGGGAGGAAGGCGCAGAGCGUCGCAGACCUCUUUUGCCGGGGGACAAAAGGCCGGACUCGUCCGGUCCUGAGGGUACCCGGAGAAAAAGCAUCGGCUAAUUCCGUGCCAGCAGCCGCGGUAAUACGGAAGUGGUUAGCGUUAUACGGAUUGAUUGGGUUUAAAGGGAGCGUAGGCGGUUCCAUAAGUCAGCGGUAAAAUCGUGCGGCUCAACCGUACCGUGCCGUUGAAACUGUGGGACUUGAGUAUACGCAGGGUACAUGGAAUUCGUGGUGUAGCGGUGAAAUGCGUAGAUAUCACGAAGAACUCCGAUGGCGAAGGCAUUGUACCGGAGCAAGACUGACGCUGAGGCUCGAAAGUGCGGGUAGCAAACAGGAUUAGAUACCCUAGUAGUC